UCCCACUUGGAUGCAGAGUGCGUCACAUCAAGUCCUAAUUCAGCCCUUACCUUACUCCAACACUCAUAACCGCUAACACUGCACAGCCUUACCUGGGCCAGGUGUAUUCUGCACCCCUCGGCAAAGGCAGGGCUGGAGCGCUUUGAGCCUGUAUGGACUUUAUCCUGUCAGCAGAGGAACCUGCAGCUUUGGAGCAUUGGCAAGAGUCCAGGUGGUACCUGUAAGAGGGAUUGGCUGGGACCAUUGAGGAACAGUGACACAAAACUUCCGGUUAAAGUAAAGGAAUAAAAGAGGAAAGUGAAAAAAGAGAAGAAAAAAAGAGCAAGCAGAGCUAUAGCUUGCAAGUAUGACGGGCUGCUGCAGAAACAGGAGCACAGAACAGCAAGAUUACAUCUUCCCAGAUCUGAACACCACUGCCCUGCUUGAUGCUGCCUGAGAGACCCCAUCUUUCCCCACUUCCUGCAAAGGAUCCUCUAGCUCGCCCUUCUGCUUCCAAACACCUGCACACCGGCUCUUUCCCUGACUUCAAAGACUGCCUCUGCUUCUUGCCUGGCUCCCUGCAAGCAUAUGCCACAUCUUUCAUUAGCUCCACAUCAAGACUUUGGAGAGCUAGAACUCCACCUUUUUCCUCUUUGUGCUCACACAGGGCUCCUCUCAGAAACAAAUAGUAAAAACAAAGUAUCACCUUCUCUUGGCCUCAUAUGGUUUUAAUGUUUUGUUUUUAAGGAGAAGCAGGAAAGCAGAAGAGGUUUGCUAACUUGAGUGUGACCCCACGGAUGGAAGUAACAGAGCUAGAAUUAAAAUCUAGGGCUUGUUGCUGCACGUGCCCCCUCUCAUGGCCCUCUAAACCCCUGAGUGUCCUCGCGCUGGGGAUCAGGGCACGGGCAGACUCACCCAUGGUAACUCUGCUUUCAAGGUCAAAGACUAUCUUUAGCUGCCCAUGCAGCUGUGGCCAAAAUUACCUUCAAUUCAACGUCCUGUUAUGAGCUCCUUCAACAUCAUUUUCUUUUCACACAAGGAGCUGUGACAUUUGAUUUGGCGUAGGCACCGGGUGGGGCUGUUUUUCCGGUGGUGGCUUUGCACUUUGGCAAUUAGGUCUGCAAUCUCAAAAACAACGGCAGCCAGGCUGCAGAGGAGAGAGAAAGAGAGAACAUUCUAUCAUGUCAGAAUAAUGAGAUCUGUGAUUUCAGCACUUACUAGGUCAAAGACACAGACAAUGUGUUAUCUGUAAUGCUUUCCUCCUGACAUUUGAGGAAAUUGCAUUUAUGCAGAGGACAUGGGACGCUGGGACGUGGCACUCCACGGAUGCCACUCAGAGUUGACAGAAUGCAGUCUCUCCUGCCAGAGCCUGGACCUUGCCAUUCCUCAGGGAGGCUGAGCCCUGGCCCAGGCAGGGACACAGUAGGGGUCCUGAAGACCUGCUUUGCCUACCUCUCCUCUAGCUAAGGAAACAGUCCAGCAUCCACACACAGAGUGGUUGAUCAGGUACAACUGUGCAUUGCUUAAUGAUGGGGACAUAUUCUCAGAAAUAUGUCACUGAGUGACUGCACUGGAGUGUGACCAUCACUGAGUGUGCUCCUAGACUGAAAUUGCUAUGAUGUUGCUAGGCCAUAUAUUCUCAGAGGACUCCCUUCCUGUACAUCUUUGGCCACCAUUGUUGCAAAGUACACAGCUCAACCUUUUUGAGCAUCCGAUGGAUGAAAUUCUCUACCAAUCCAACAUCUUCCUGACCCCGUUUCUCUUCUGUUCUUCCCAGUGUACCAGGAAGUUUGGGAAGGCCCUGGGCUGCUUCUUUUGAAAUACAUAUGAGGCAGGAAGUUUACCAUCUCUGUGUGCAUCUACCCCCUUUCCCUGUCUCCUGGCUCUCUCUCUCUCUCUCUCUCUCUCUCUCUCUCUCUCUCUCUCUCUCUUUCUCUCUCUUUCUCGCUCUUGCUCUGUCUCCACUCCUCAGUGGCAGUGUUUCAGUGUUUACUAGGGAAACAGACAUAACACAAGAUAUACAAAUGUAUAAUUUGUAAGAUUGCCUGGCAGUGGCCACCCGCAGAGUCAGAUGAUGAAGUGUGCAGAGGACCUCUGCACACUGAACACUGAAGGGUCCAGCCUGAGGUCUGGAGCUCACUGCAGUAUCCCGUGCGAAUCUGUAUUAGGAGACCGAUGGGUCUGUGAUGGAAGGCUGAGUUGUCUACACCAGAAGGCUGCGGGUCAGUGCCGGAAGCUAAAGAGUCUGCCCUGGAAGCCAGGAGAUGACGUGCAAGGUGAAGGUGAAGGUGAAGACUGGAGCUCUUUAAAGGAAGAAGAAACCAAUCACCCUUCUUCAUUUCCGCUUUAUCCUGACCGGGCAGUGCGCUUCCCUAGGGGGGGCCUUCUACACCCUUGGCGGUGGGAUUUCUGAGCUGAUUUAGCUGAACUUCUCUUACCAAGCUGACACAAUCAGUCCACCAUCACAGAUGGUGCUGAAGGGAUGAUUUUCCAGCCACAGGUGUCUUGUGUGGUUUUGAACUGAACCUACCUGCUACACAGCAGGCAGACAGAAGGGAGAGCACACGUGUGCACAAGCUCACCCACCCACACACACUCACAUACAGAGAGAAAAGCCUAGCUGGGGCUGACUCUCCUGGUCAAUGGUGGUGCUCAAGCUGCUCCUCUAGACAUAACGUUUCAAAAGAUCCUUUCCUGCUCCACCUGGGAACCGAGUCUCUUCUGUUAAAUGGGCUGACAGUGCACCCCACAUCCACCCCCAAAGACGCUGGUAUUUCUUGGAGCAGUCAAAUGAAGCAUUUGGAUUGAAAAAAAGUUUUCACAUGCUUUUAGGACAAAACUCUCUUUUUAAAACCCUCACUUGGAUCCCUGGUAUUAAAAACAAAUUAGGGUGAUGAGCUGACUCCCUCUCCUGGCUCCUUGGUGGUUUGUGAGGUGCAGGUCAAUACCGGCUUCGCCCCUAAGUACCUCGCAGGAUCCCCAGGAAUCUGUAAGCACUGAACAGAUACUGAGCUCUUGCCAACCUUAAUCAGAGAUGCCAAGUGAUACACGCAGUCAGCUGGAAGCUGGGUUGUAACCUGGCUUUCCCACACUCACAUAUACUAAAUAUAUUCAUGCCUCUGUUAAGGAUGUGGAGUAGAAAUUCAUUCACUGUCACAGAAUCAGUGAUUGAGGCCCACAGCUGAAUAGAGGAAGCACUAACCGCCAUGCUUUAGAGAGAGUCACUGGCAGUUAGGCCAGCGCCUUCUCCCAGGGCUUCCUGUGCAUGUCAACACUGAUCACCUACACCUUCCCACGCUGGCCCUCAGAGCUGUGGAAUGAGAGGUACCAUAAUGGGGUUGGUGGAGCUGCAGGGCUCAUGGUGAAGGAGCGAGGAAGGGGUCUUGGGCUCCCUUUCCCAAGAUGGGAAAUGGGAGGGUCCACUUGUGUGACAUGUUACGGUGAAGCUGAUUGUCAAUCUUCUCAGAUUGACAGAUGCUCAGAGAGUUGAGUGGACUCUGAAGGCACUAACCUCCUCAAUGGAUUAACCCAGGGAGGAAUGCUUAGGUCUUUGGCUUUAGUUCCAGGAGCGACUAACUGGAGGAAAGGGAUGGGCCUUGGGGACUAUUAUCUGCUCCCUGGUCCCUUUCUCUAUGAUUCUUGCUUACUCUGCUUCCUGCCUGCUGUGAGAAGAGCAGUUUUCUCCCAUCACACACAUUUCUGCUGUGAUGCUUCUACUCACUGGAAGCAACAGAGUCAACUAAAAAUUCUGAAAAUAUAAGCUGAGAUAAGCAUUUCCUCUUUUAAGUUGUGUUUUCCAGGUAAUUUUUCCCCAGCAAUUGAAAGGUGACUAACAGAACUUACACAGAUGGAAAAGUCAAUAUUUAUUUUCUUGGCUAUAAGUGACUCAUAGACCAGCCAUGGAGCCAGAAGAAAACAGAGUUGGAGCAGUCUUCCCUACUUCUGGCUUUGUGAGUUCUUCUUAGAUUAAGGAGGCACCAUGAAGAAAGCUGGCCUGGGCAUCUGGCUGCAUUGCACUAGAGGAUUACUCUUUAAGAAAGUGACCCAGGAGUAAGAGCCUUCAAGAUGGACUGCAGGUGGCCAGAGCCAAGGGGCUGGGGUGAAGGAGGAAAAUUAGAGGUGGGUGUGGUCCAGCAGAGCCCUGUACAGUGGGGUGGAUCCACACAAUCCUGCAAAACUCUCAGUGAGUGCUGCACAGAGAGCAAUACAGAGAGGUCAGUGCUGCCCACCGCUGGCACCAUCCUAACCACGCACAUCCUGGCAAAGGGAGGCUUCCUCCUCCCAUGUGGCAUGUGAAAACCCUGACUCCCCACCCUCUUACAGGUCUCACAGCCCUACAUGCAGUCAGUGAUGGAAACAGGAAGAACCUCAAAAUGCAUAAACAUGAAAGUGAGGAGCAGGCUGAAUUUCUUCUUUGACUUUUUAUUGUGGAAAAUUUUAAAUAAACAGAAGUGUGGGACAAUCAGAACAAUGAACAUCCAAUUAAUCACCUCUUAGUUUCAUUAAUUAUUAAGAUCUAGCUCCCACUUUCCUUCUUUUCUUCUCCCCUCCCUUCCUGUCUCCAUCCCUCCAUCUCCAUCCCUCCUUUCCUUCCUUCUCUGCAUCAUCUACCUGUCUCAGAGUGAACUGUCAUCCCAUGACACUUCGUCUCGGAACAGUUUUGUCUAUUUUCUUAAAAUUAAGGAUAUUCUUCAAAUCAGGAAGUCACAAUCACACAGAAAGAAAACAAUUUCCAAAAGCCUUUGAAUGUACUGUAUCAAACCACUUUAAUCAAUGAGUAUGAUUAGAAAGUUGCAGUUUCUGCCUGAGAUGCUUGGAGAUCGCCUACAGAGAUGGCACCUCGCGAGUGGAAGGAAAGAAGGACCAGGCCAGCAGCCUUGGCCUCAGCUGCUGAAGGCAGGAAUAGAUUCAGUGUUGGUCACAUCUUUGCAUCCUUCAAUGACGCUUUUGUCCAUGUCACUGAUUUUUCUGGCAGGGCAGCCAUGUGUCGUGUGACUGGUGGGCUGGGGUGAAGGCUGGUUGAGAUGAACCUGCCCUGAACACUGCCGUGGUGGCUGCCCGGGACAUGGCCCCGAGGUGCAAAGAGUUGGGCAUCACCACCCUGCAUAUCAAACUCUGGACCACACCAGGAAACAGGACUAAGAUCCCAGGCCUGGUGCUCCAUCAGUCCUCAGAGCACUUGCCAACUCGAGAAUGAAGAUUGGGUGGCUUGAGGAUGUCACCCCGGUGCCCUCCAACAGCACCUGCAGGAAGGGAGGUCAGCAAGGUUGCUAUCUGUGAACAAGACUCAAAUUGUUUUCUGUUAAUAAAUUAGCUUUGUGUAAGCUAAAUAAAUAAAUAAGAGAAGGUAAUUAAAGCUAUCACAAGUGAGGCCACGAUUAGAAGAAAUAAAACUGCUUCUUGCUUGUAUUCCCACGAUUGAGACUCCUCAAGAAAUCACUUACCUCUGCUGAGUCUCCCAUCGGAUACGGCUGCCGCUUUGUUUGAACUCAGGGCUUGCUCAUCACCCUUGGGGGCAGCCCUUUCUCGGCUGCUAUUUGACCUCCGCUCCACCCUUUGCAAUGGUGUCCAGAUGAAAGGGAGCAGAGGAGUGACAGAGGGAUUCCCCUCCAUGUUAUCCCACCCACAGGGCUGCAUUUUGUGAACGUGGAGGUGCAGCCAGAUGCCGUAGGGAGGAACAAAGAAGACAGAGACUAAAAGCCAGCAGUUAGACUCAGGGCCCUGGGACUGCUUGCCUUCAGGUAGGAAUGGAUCCCAGCUGUGUGGGCCAGAUGUUCUUCCUUAAUGUGUGACCGUAUGUGCAGCCAUCAACAAGGGGUCUGAGCACAUGAGAUAGAGGUCUGAGGACAGGGGGAGCAUGAUGGGGCAAAUCUGGGGCGAGAAGUCUUGGCGGGGAGAGACAGCACCUGGAGAUGGUCUACAGGCAGCAGGGUUGGUCUUAUCCUGGUGCCCAGGUCUCUGCAGUUCCUGGCAUGCCUGGCUUCCUGGUUUUAAGUAAAUGAAACUUUUGGUUGACUCUUUGGCUAAAACUCAGAUUAAGGAGCAAGAGAAAUUAAAGACAACAGUUUUGAGGUUAAAGUUAAAGCCUAAAUGUCAACGUGGCGUUCAAAAUCAGAGCACAGCUAUAAUUGUGUAAUAAUGGGGGUGGGGGUUGAGCCCCAGACAUUGGGCCAGGGCCUCUCCGACUCGACUCUGCCUGUGGUUAGGUUCUGGCUGGAGAACCGAGAGGUCUGUACCUAUGUCUGAGGGUAGAACAGGUCUCCAGAGACUGGGCUGCAGGCUAAGCUGGGCAGAGGGCAGGAAGUUGUUCUAUCAAUAAAAUGACAAGAAACAGCAGAGUCGUUAAGUUUUCCUUCAGAAGCUCUAUAAAGACAGGGCUACCAGCAUGGCUUGUGUAGUGUGAGCUGGGAGCUAGGAGGGUGAGAGGAGGUACAUCAGAGAGGGGCAUCCAGGGCUCAUGGACCUUGCCAUCUGCUUGGGUUGGGAAAAAUGCACCUCACAGAUAAAGCAUAGAGCGGGGAACCAAAAUGCUGGAACACACUUGGCCCCAGGGAGUUAGAGACUGAACGCUCUCCUUUUCCUACAAGGGACACUGGAAUUGCAUCUCUCUCUGCUUUCCCUCUUCCUGCUUCUGGGCUGGUCUCCAAAGCUGGCUCCGAGGGACUGCUUCACCUGGCAUUCACGUUCUUGGUUGCUCCCCGUUUGUGUGUUCCUCUGACCUGGUCUUUGCAGAUCAACAGUGGGCAGAUCAAACGGGACGGCAAAGCACCCUGUUUAAUGCCAGUGGCUUCCAUCUUCCUGUUCCCCAUCUUCUUUGCCAAAGACCCAACUUCCAUGAGAUGAGAAUGGGUGCCUUCUGCUCAGCUCCAGGUAACAAGCAUGAUGCCUGGACCCUGAAGACAAUGACACACAUGAUCUGAUGGAUGCAGAAAGGAGGGACUCUGUGGUGCCUGUGCUGACAGGUUGUAUUGUCUCUCAGUAGACAACAUACCCGCGGCUUUCCCGUGCAAUGACGCAACACCUUUUUCUGCACUGCCAGGAAGCCAAUGGGGAGGCAGCAACUGAGGCCUGAGCCUGCCCCGGGCUGGAACCAGCCCCCUGGGGCUCCUUUGAUGAUGAGGAAAUUGAAUCAUGCUGAUGUAAAGUGGGCUGCCCUGUCCAGCAGCCGAUCUUUUCGGGCAAUUAUUUGGAAGUAAUGAAAGUGAAUGCAUGACAUUUAAAAAGAAACUCCUCUGUCAGCAGGAAAGCUGCCACAUUCUCCUGCACCUCUGAGAAUAAGCUUAGCUUGAAAUAAUGUUCAUUUUAGCCAAGUUGUAAAUUACAAGUGUGUUGGGGUCCGAGGGGAUUUAUUACGAGUCGGAAAGAGGUUAUUGGGCUUUGUGCAGGCUGCUGCAUAUGGUGCAUGUUACAAAGUGGCUAUGUCGUGAAGUUUGUAGCGAGGGAUAAAGUACCUUUCUGCUUGCUUUUUUGCUCUGGGUCUAUUUUUUUUUUCUUUUACAGUUUCUCUCUGGAGGCUUCUGAUUGCUAAUGUUCCACAGAAACACCAGCAAUAAAGAGUACAAUGUUGCAA
Molecule: long non-coding RNA, 7549 nt
Organism: Cavia porcellus (domestic guinea pig)
Lineage: Eukaryota; Metazoa; Chordata; Mammalia; Rodentia; Caviidae
Exons: 3
Source: RefSeq, a predicted model, not a curated record